UGGUGAAGUGAGCAAUCUCAUCUGUAAAGGAGGAUUUCCCGAGAACCUAGAAUUUGACUGUAUUCAUCUCUGUAACAAGAGCUGGGCACAAUCUGUGCCCAUCCCAGGAAUCACUGGGUGGACACUGUGGCAUCCAUCCUCAGUCUGGAAUCUGUGCCUUCUUUCUGGUUUUUCUGGAGUGAUCAAGAAGGGAAAGGAAGGAAGAGGAUGUACUCUGUGAUGAAAAGGACGGACAUGCUGCAACAGACUGUGCAGGACUAAAGCUGCUGCAAGGCAAAGAGAGAGAAGUGAGGUCUGCACUCCACCAACUGAGGAAAUACACAAGGAGAAAGUCCUGAGAGCAGGCAGCUGUGAUCCAGAUGUUUUCCAACAGGCAAAUGAAAAAAGCUCAAAAAGUAAGCUAUAACUACCCCACCCCCAACCCCCACAGUGCAAAAGAACAACCUUAGUGCUCUGGCUUAGCAUGAGAAGACGUGCGAAUGAUUGCGUGGGGGCCUGGGAAAGCCAGGCCCGGGAGGCCCUCUCAAGCUCUCAAGCCAAUAUGUAUCUUCCUUGCCACUUCUUCACAGAAAGAUGAUGUUUUAAAAAAAGGAUUUACCCUUCCCAAAGUCACCCUGUUUCGGGGACCCUCUCCCCCUCUCCUGGAUAGUUUAAACCCAUAUAAUGAUUCUAUCCCCAAAUGGAAGGAAUAUAUUCAUCUUCUUUUAGAUAUAGUCCUGCCUUGGGUUCUGGGACGAGCGGCCACUUGCUACAAGCUUGACAACGGCAUCCACAUGAAGUGGCCAGAGUGACUGUUCAUGAAGGGAACCACAGAGAGAUGGAAUCCUGCCACACCGGAGCAGCCUACCCUGCGCUUCCUAUCUAAGCCCCAUUGAAUUAGAGCUUUCGUGUCCAUAGCCCCAGAGAACCCCGACUAACGAGGAGGCCUGCUACCUCUCAGAGGGUCUUAGGAAGGGUGUACUUGGUCUCCGCAACAGUAUCCUCCUGGUCCAAGAGUUUUACAAAGCAAGAUCUGAAAUCUUUGUCUGUCUCAGAGUCCUAUUCAUUUCCCCUAGAACCUGAUUUUCUUUCUAUUUCGUUUUUGGUUUAGGGAUGAGAGUAAAGAAAGCAAGUUGGGGACUUUCUCUAAGGAGCCCCAGUAUUAAGUGGAAAAUAGAGAAACUUACUUUUCCAAAAGUGCAGGCAGCACCGGGGGGACGGAUAUGUUGCUUUUUCCGUUGGGUGAUUCAGACUGGAUGGAAAAGAGGAGCCAGAACUGAGGGUUCAAUUUGCCCAGAAAUUAUCAGAAAAGUAUCUUCAAGAGUCUCCACAGCUUGCAGCGCUGCUGCAACCACGCACACUUUUCCUGUGAGGAAGGAGGGAAGAUUCUGCGUCCACCCAGGGUGCAGGGCGAAACAGGCAAGCCUCCGUGUUUGCUUCUCUGCUGGCUGGUGGGGAUUCCUGGUGUGACAAGCUGUUUUCUCCAGCUAUCCACCCUCCUGGACCAGACUCCAAGCCCUGGCAGCACCCAGGGAGAGAUUCCAGUCCAAUGCACUGUCAUUUCCCUGCUGGGCUGAGCAAGAGCUUCUGAGCUCACCCUUCCCUACUUCAGCUUUGACCCCUACUAAUGCAUUGCGCUUGCCGAAGUCAGAGUAGCACAAAAAGAAAAUGUGGACAUGUCAUGUGACAUGCUCCCUACCAACUCCCUGUUCCUACCAGACAAAGGCCUAGUUGCUAGUGUGUCCUGGAAGAUGGCCUUGGUCUGCCAGGUCUUAUGUUCAGCCUCUCAAUGUUACCCCAGCCACACAGGUCAUUUCAUCCUGUUCCCAUCCCCCACCUCCACACCUUUACACACCCUGCUUCCUCCACCCGUUUGCUGACUUCCUCCUCCCAUUUUUACUGUAAAGCCCUGCAGAGAUGACCUCCCUCGAUGUAUCCAUCCUUGACUCCCUUGAGCAGAAUCAGGUGGCCUUUCUCUGUCUCCUUACACCCAUUUGCAUGGAACUUUUAAGACAUUAAGAAAAGAAUCGCUGGAGUAUGUGUCUUACCCACGCCACAUCUGUGUUUGUCUCCACAAUAGCUCACCUAGCUAGACUCUCAUUGUGCCCCGCCGCCCGGACUCCCUCCCUCCCCUGGACUGGUGCAAUAUCCUCACAAACACAGAAUAUUUUCUGGCUCUGCUCUUUUGGGUGACUGGAAAACUUAAACAUCCUUUGACUGAAAUGCUUGAACAUUUCCGCUGGACACAAUGAAAUAAGCAGUCUCAUGAGUCUGAGGCCAGUCUGGACUAAGAAUGCUGAUUUGCUCCAGUUCUGUAACUGAUGUACUACACUUCAAGGAUGCUGCUUCAGCAGGAACAUGCUCAUCCACUUCCCUGAAGGAAAUCCUUGAAUCCCUGGUGCUUUCCAGAAUAAAACCCAGAUUUCUUAGCCGGUUCUCCACAUACUGCAUCAUGACCUCCGUUGCCUUCGACAUACGCUUUUCCUGCAGGGAAGAGGACACACAGGAACAGCUGAAGAAAGGGCACCGUCCACACUUGACCGCUCUGAGCUCAGUCCUGGGCUGCCA
Molecule: non-coding RNA, 2547 nt
Organism: Peromyscus maniculatus bairdii (prairie deer mouse)
Lineage: Eukaryota; Metazoa; Chordata; Mammalia; Rodentia; Cricetidae
Source: RefSeq, a predicted model, not a curated record